RNAcentral lists this ribosomal RNA (377 nucleotides) under uncultured eukaryote. RNAcentral's name for it is "partial 18S ribosomal RNA". It matches the Rfam family "Eukaryotic small subunit ribosomal RNA", at positions 592 to 976 of the family's 1831-position model. The record is from RNAcentral.
CAAUAGCGUAUAUUAAAGUUGUUGCAGUUAAAAAGCUCGUAGUUGGAUUUCGGGGCAGCCUGGCUGGUCCGCCGCAAGGCGAGUACUGGUCAGCCGCCCUUCCUCUCGAAAGCCCCGACUGCUCUUUAUUGCAGUGGUCGGGUAGUUCGGGACGUUUACUUUGAAAAAAUUAGAGUGUUCAAGGCAGGCCUACGCCUGAAUACAUUAGCAUGGAAUAAUGGAAGAGGACCUCGGUCCUAUUUUGUUGGUUUCCAGGACCGAAGUAACGAUUAAGAGGGACAGUUGGGGGCAUUCGUAUUUAAUUGUCAGAGGUGAAAUUCUCGGAUUUAUGAAAGACGAACAACUGCGAAAGCAUUUGCCAAGGAUGUUUUCAUUAA